Non-coding RNA from Rhopilema esculentum, 5823 nucleotides. NCBI's taxonomy places the organism in Eukaryota, Metazoa, Cnidaria, Scyphozoa, Rhizostomeae, Rhizostomatidae. The record is from RefSeq and is a predicted model, not a curated record.
UGAGGAGGAGGGCUACCCGGCAACCAUUACGAGAAAGGGGCAUGGCUUGGGCUGGCAUGAAGAAAAUGGCGUCAGAUGUUUUCAAAUUUAAUCGUCAUUUAAGGUCAUUAAAAGAGGACAUCGGCACUACAAAAUAAUGUUAUCUUGAUUCGCUGGAGACAUUUCCUCAAUCUUGAAUCAAGCAUUUUGUCUCGGCCUUUUCCUAUGGAGACACUGGGUAGCUGUCAUUGCUGAUGAAGAAUCAAGGCAGCGGUAUGAAAAGGCAGUGGUUUGAAAAAGGCAGCAGUUAUCAGAUCUUAUUACAAGUGGUCUUCAGUUCCAGAUGAAUUUGGCCUAAAAUUCAAAAUCAACUCUGUCAUAUAAAACAGCUCCAUUUAGAAUGUACUGGACUGACCCGUCAGCCAUUAAUUGAAUACUGGAAAGAAAUUUGUUUCUGAUUUCUGCAGUAGUUUUGAGAGAAAGUAAUUGGUGGGUUAAAUUCAUAGUUUCUGCUCGCUAGAUGAAAGAGAUUGCCACUGCAUAAAGUUUGAGAAUAUUAUGGGAAUUUGCUGUGGAAUCAUUUCUUCAUGACCUUGUUUGAUAAAGGCAGUGGUUAUCAAAUCUUGUUACAAGCGUUUCAGUUCCAGAAGACUAUUCUCUGAAGUUCGAAAUCAACUCUGUCGGAUAGAACAUCUUCAGUUACUUUGAAUUCGAUUCAUCUGGCAGCCAUUUAUUGAUUAGUGGAAAGAAAUUGCUUCCUGAUUUCUUGAAUUAUUCUGAGAGAAAGUAAUUGGUCGUUGUUUGAUUGGCAUAGGUAAAUGCUCUGAAUCUUGAAGUCCAUCACCAUUCACUAUGUGCUUUUAAGUCCCUGCAGCCAUUAAUUUGCUGCUGGAAAGACAGCGAUUCCUCAGUUAUUGAGUCGUUCUCAGAGAAUAUAAUUGGUCAGUUGUUCUGAGGAAUGACUUCACUUGGGAAGAUGCACAAGAAGAAGAGGCGGAAGAAGACGUUGCAGAAGAAGAAGAUGCACAAAAGGAUUUUCACAAGAAGAUGAAGCAAAGAAGAUCAAAUGAAGAACUGUUGAGAAGAUGGACAGAUGAUACAGAAUGCAUUCAUGUAAAUAAUUUUGAUUGUGAAUGGGUUAGAAAUGCGGUGUUUGCUGGCAAGUAACUUACUUCGAAACUGUCAUUGGGUAAAAUUUACGAUUCCAUCCCAGUUUGCUUGGGUACGCUCAGGGAGAAAUGAGCACUGAAAGAAUUUCACAAGGGUGCGCUCAGGGAGCAGCAAGCAGCAAAAGCGGGAACUGACCCAAGGGGAGCUUGCGCUGUUUUUGCUUUUGUGUGCAUGUUUGUGCAUGUAUUGACUCUUAGUUUGUUAAGGGUGAAAUUCAAUUGUUUGUUUAACAAGUUGCUUGCCAGCAUUGACUGCAUUUUCAAUCCACCAUAAGGGAAAAUGUCAUUUGAGCAGCUUUUUCAACCAAAAAAGAAGACCCUGUGUUUUCACAUCAAAGUUUGUAUAGGUAAAACUUAUAAUAGGUUCCCCCAGCAUGCUCAAUUUUCCCUUGACUUUGCUUCAUAUAUUAUUUCAAUUCUUAACUUUUAUUCCACUACAUUACAAAUUUUGCAUUCCCCAAGUUUUACCCAACAUCUUGAAUUCAUUUGUACAACAGUUUAUUUUCAUCCAAGAAAAGUAUAAAUCGAUUGCGUUUGAUGACCCUUUAACAGAGGUUUCAGUAUUGGUUUAAGUUUUCGACUUAUCAAAUUGAUGAUAUCUGUGAAAUACCCAGGAAAUCACGUUAUAGGCGUAUUUCUUCCAGUCUACAGUUUUGGCACCUUGGUUUACAAAAAUAACUUCCAUUCACCAAAAAGUGUGUUUCUAAGACUGAUAUUUUUUUAAAUUUUUGCUGAAUGAAGUAAUUUUGAUAGGUGCAUAUCCCAUAGGUAAACAUCUAAACAAAAGUUAGUUAAUAGUUAUGAAAAGCUGCUUGAAUGACCAAUUUCGAACUUCCUGCCAAUUUUAGUGCUUGAAGCGAUGAAGAUUCGCAAAUAUUGUACAUUAACAAAAAAAAAUUUUCGUCAGAUAAAUUUUCGGCGGAUAAACUUCGUCAAAAAUAUUUCGGACAACUUUUGAGAAUCUCGUCGUGACAAAAUUUCGUCUAAAAUUUUUAACACAGAUAUUAUCAGUAUCGUAAGAGGCAAAACCAUGCAGUUUGCUUCAUAUUCAGUCCAAUAGGUACCGACUCUGUGGAGACUUCGGGGCUUGAGCACCCGUUCGAAAUUGGGCUUAUCCUCCGAGGCUGCUCUUUUACACAGAGCGGGAAACCCAAAUUAGGAAACCCAAAUUAAAGCGGUUAUUUUCUUAGUUUAUGCAAACUUGGGAUCAAUAUAGAUGCCUUUAGCAUUCAAAAAGUCUCUACUCUAAUCUACAUGGUAUCAAAAUUUAUAGAUGGAGUAUAAUUAUAAGUAUAGGUGUGAGUAUAAGUAUAAGAUUCGAAAAACAUAAGACCAUCUCCUAAAGGAAAAGUUCGAAAUCGGUUCCCUGUAGAGUUCAAAACUUGGGUUGCAAAGUGCAAAUUCCUUGAACGAAAGAAGGAAAUAGUACAGUUGAGUUAAAAAAGACAGAGUUGGAAUCCUCUGAAACCGGCGACAAAACACAGUUAGAGCAGUAGCGUGGCCAGGAUAAUAAGACUCGGGGGGGGGGGGGGGGGGUGUUGGGCAAAGGUGAGUUGAGCAGGAAACAUUAGGAUCAUCACCCUUUAUUAGACCAAACCAAAGAGACUUUUUGCUGUUGGGGGUGACGUCCGCCCCUCAUUACGCCAGUAAAUUAGAACUAUUUUUAUCGAAUGAUAGUCAAAACCAAGUUAGUUCAAGAACCGACAAUGAUGAUGAUGAUGCCUACGAUAGAGAUAAUUAUGAAGAUGAUAUAAAGGAGGAAGUGACGUGAUUUACAUGGAAUAGAUAGAAAAGAGACAUAAAUUUGAUUGUUGACCCCAUGGAUAGUUUUCCUAUUAGAAUUUCCAAAAACUUUAAUGCAAAAAUUUCGUCGUGACAAAAUUCGUCUCAUCUUGAAUUUAGUCGAAGAAAUUUUCGUCAAAAUUUUGUCACGACGAAAUUUUUUGUAGUUAAUGUAAAAUGAUACUUUCCAGCCUGGUUUUUUGCUCAAAUGAGUGUACCACCUUCAAAAGCUAUUUUAUACCCUUGCAUUUGAGGCAACAAAAUCUGACUUGCAUCAGCAGAAAGCGCAGAUCCACAGAUAAACACGGCCGUACAUUGGAUAUAUCGAUGUGCCAUGCGAUAUUGUAAAUGAUACAUGUGACCAAAACCGCUAAGCAAGGAUAAUCGGCUUAACAGGUCAAGAGAUUUUCAGGCCUCAACUAAAAGUUUUGAAAAAGAAAUUAUGGAAACCUUCGUUUGGAUGUAAUUUUUUCCAUUAUCAAAAUUUCUGUUAGUUUCAAUAUUGUAAAUGAUACAUGUGACCAAAACCGCUAAGCAAGGAUAAUCGGCUUAACAGGUCAAACUAUCUCACGACCUCAACUAAAAACAUUGAUAAAGAAGUUAUGGAAACCUGCGUUUACAUGGAAUGUUUUGCAUUUUCAAAACUUCUGCUAGUUUUAAACAUGGUAUCAAUGAGUGCCUUAAGAGUGCGGAUGCCUUAAAAUCACUGUGUGUCUUAAAAGUGCGGCUACCAGAAUGUGAAGAAAUCGAAAAAUUUAUGUUUUCGUCCAGAAAACGUUUACCGUAACUUCUGGGUCUAAUAGAAAGCACACGCUUUAUAAAAAAGAUGCAGAAAAGACUGGCGCCUUUUUCAGUUGGCUACAUUAUUCCGCAAACGCAGUUGGAAAGUUGUAUGUGUGAAUGAAUUGUAAAUGCGAAAGGGAGUUGAGCCCGGGUAACUUUUCAACUGCGUAUGCAGAAUAAGACCCGGAAACUUGUCCGGAAACUUUUUCGUAACUCAGUUUAAAUGAAAUUCACGAAACUUGCAUGAUGGCAUUAACUUCAUGUUAUUAAAAAGACAAGUCAUCAAGUUCGUAAGGUUGGUAAGUGGUUAAUUACAUAUGUCUAGAUUAAACUGUUACCAAUUAGAAUCUAGAAGAAACUACUCUAUACGCUCGACGGGUGUCAGCCAACAAGCCUCUCUUCUUUGGUCAUUUGUUUUGCACCACGUGAUACUUUUCAGCCUCUUAAUAGAGGAGCUUGUCCCGGUUGCUAUAGAGAAGUUUAGCGGUGUUUCGAACCCGUUCAUUAAGUUCGCUCACCCUACUGUACGCUCAGACAGUUGUAGUUUAAUCAAGUUUUAUAAGGCUGUAAUACCGCUACUCCAAGCGCUAAGCCUCGCUCUUACCUGCCUCGUUUGCGCAUUUCCUUCGCCCCAUUCAUCCACUAUCCCAGCGUUAGUCAUACUUGUUAGUGCAUACUCUUUUGCGUCAACUUGCAUCACACUCUUUGUUGCAUUGCGUAUACUAGUAGGAACACUUUCACUAAGGAAACCCACCCUCUAUUAUAGUAUUAUUUUAAGAACUACACUAUGGAUUGACUCAGCUUAUACAUACGUAUCUAGAAUCAUUCCUAUUGUUUUUCUAGCUUGUUUUUCCUCUUAUGUAGACACCUAAGAUUAGCACAUUUACAUCUUUUAUUUGUACAAGGAACUAGUUUAACAUAUAUAUAUCGUUCUCUACGAAUCCUGAGUUAGUUAAGAGUUAGAGCUAGCAUUGUGAGCACGUACACUUCGCUCUUGUGAAAGGCUUAGUGGCACAAGUCAUACAACGAUAUACGUUUGAGAAAACUAUAUCUGUGUUUAUUUGUUGUGUCAUUCUGACGUUUUGCCGGACAUUUAGCUCGGAACCUGCCGUAUUUAGAAACCAAUUUACAAGGCAUACUUUUAGAGAAAAGUGUCAUCCUUUUCUUUCUGUGUUUCCUGUAUUUGUUCACGUUUUACUCUUGAAUUUUAGAUACCAUCACGCAGCUUUUCCCGUUAAUGGUAAAAAAGAGUUUUACUAUCGAAUAUUUCUUCACCUUUUCAACCCCAAUAUGCAAGGCUUGAUAAAAUGAUCCUUUCAUUUAUUCCUAUAUCAUUGGAUUUUUGACAUUUUCUUGACAGUAGACACAGCACCCCCCUCCCCCCCCCCCGCCCUCCUUGACAAAAAUGGUUUUGCUGAUUUUUCUUAACACAGAUUUGAUAUUAUCGUAGGCGCGGAGGAGCAAUUGCCUGUGAACUCCCAAGAGACACUUCUCCCGCUUAUAUUUUUAAUUGUUGGUUUCCCCUUUGGACUACCUGUGGUUCAUUCAAAUUGAAUCUCCCUUGAGUAUCCCAGGUUUUCGUAGAACAUAAAUAAGCAAUCCAUUUGUUUUAUAAUCAAUAUUCUGAAUUAUAAACCAGAUAUUAAGUAUGAUGCAUAACAAAGUUUUGAUGAUGCUAAUGGAAACUUGAGGAUAAUAUCGUUCGCUCUGGCAUUCUGCAAUGAAUUCGGCAAUGUUUUCGAAGGUUUAUGCUAUCCAAGAUGGCCUACUUGAUGGUGCUCUAUUGUGACUUCAGCUAGAUCUAUAAAUCAACUAAAUCUCUAAACUUCUCAACUUUGUUCGAUACUGGAUUUUGUAUUGCAUCGUAAAGCUUCGUCAAGUAGAAGACGUUCGAUGCCUUGACGCAGAGGUAGAGGACGCAGGCUGAUUGCAUUCAAUUGAGAUAAAGUCGAAGAUUCACCAUCGUGUCCUUCCUACGUUCUGAAAGAAGGUUUGUUGACUCUACCCUUUAUACCUUUGGCUAAAUUUAUUUUGGAAGUAUUCUGAUUCAACUCUAAAUUUGAAUUCUAAAAGAUUAAUACUACAGCAAAUUUAAGAACGGUCUUACCCU